GUGCCAUUGUACUCCAUGCAGUUCUGAGGCUGCAGCCUAUGUUGGAACAACUGAGAGAAGGCCUGCAGCUGUAUGACCUUCUUUCGCUAAUCAGGCAGUACCCAGGUAUCUGCCAGCCCCUGUUUGUUCCCGGUGAAGAUGUAAAAGUUAAUGCAGAGUUUGUCAUGGCAUCCAUUCUUCCUCAACUGAGUGACAAAGGGACUUCCAGGCAUCAGAUUGAGCUGGAGAUGAUUAUGAAGUUGAACGUAUACAGUUGUUAAUGUUCUGCAAAUCAAAUAUUCGAAAGCUCAGUAAAAUUUUAUGUUUUCAUGACAUUUGGAGCUGUAAAAUUUUCCGGUACCACCUGUAAUUAUGCUGGUAUUGAAUAUGUUAACGUUAUUUUCUACCUGAAAAUUUUUGAUAAUGGUAAUAGGUAUUAUGGACCAGGGUAGCACUUUUUUUGAAUACAAGGCUGUAAUCACAAUGAGUAUACAUACAGAGAACAUACAUACAAAUGAUUGUUUCCCUAAACCCAUUGUUCUUAAUGAAAGCCUUUACAAAUCUAUCACUUUUCUAUGUAGAAAUUAUUAUCAUUAUUGCCAAUAAUGAAAGUAUACAUAAUGGCAUAUAUUCAUUGUGUUUGGCUCAGAUGGUCAUCUCUAAAUCAUUUAGAAAUUUGACUUCUUCUGUGGCUGAGUACCUUUGUCUAAUUCACUCUUUUAAUUGCAGUAAGGAAUAACAUUUGCAAUGGUCACAUAACACUUGUUGUUUUAUCCGUUUGCUUCAUAGCUGAAGACCAGGGGCAUGUAGAUGACCAAGAUGGCCUACAUUCCAUCACACCUGCCAGGUUUCUCCAGUGGAUCACAGGCCAAGGUCACAUCCCACAUCUUCCCUCAGAGAAGUUUUGUCGUUUUGCUGUAACGAUCAAGUUUAACCAUGACUGUAGUGCAGACUUUGGCCAUCACAGUGUUUGUUACCCCGUUGUGUCAACAUGUGCCAAGAAUAUUGUACUACCUGUAAAACAUAUGAGGCCUUAUGACCAAUUCAAAAAGGUUCUAAUUGAGGCUUUUCAUCUGGGCCAACAGUUUAACAUGGUGUAAAUAUUUACCAUCAACUGAUGGUACCUUUUUCUAGGUUGAACUACAACCUACAGUAAAUGAUAAAUGUUUAGCACCA
Molecule: long non-coding RNA, 1155 nt
Organism: Micropterus salmoides (largemouth bass)
Lineage: Eukaryota; Metazoa; Chordata; Actinopteri; Centrarchiformes; Centrarchidae
Exons: 2
Source: RefSeq, a predicted model, not a curated record